CGCCCGCCGCGCGCGGCGGGCGGGGCGGGGGCACGGGGGGCCUACGGGAGGCAGCAGUGGGGAAUAUUGCACAAUGGGGGAAACCCUGAUGCAGCGACGCCGCGUGAGUGAAGAAGUACUUCGGUACGUAAAGCUCUAUCAGCAGGGACGAAGAUUACGGUACCUGACUAAGAAGCCCUGGCUAACUACGUGCCAGCAGCCGCGGUAAU
Molecule: ribosomal RNA, 209 nt
Filed under: uncultured bacterium
Lineage: Bacteria
Description: partial 16S ribosomal RNA
Rfam family: Bacterial small subunit ribosomal RNA
Source: RNAcentral